RNAcentral lists this ribosomal RNA (686 nucleotides) under uncultured bacterium. Its description in RNAcentral is "bacterial SSU rRNA". It matches the Rfam family "Bacterial small subunit ribosomal RNA", at positions 32 to 715 of the family's 1533-position model. The record is from RNAcentral.
AACGCUAGCUACAGGCUUAACACAUGCAAGUCGAGGGGCAUCAGGGUAGCAAUACCGCUGGCGACCGGCGCACGGGUGAGUAACACGUAUCCAACCUACCGUUAACUCGGGGAUAGCCUUUCGAAAGAAAGAUUAAUACCCGAUAGUAUAUUUUCUUCGCAUGUUGAAAAUAUUAAAGAAUUUCGGUUAUCGAUGGGGAUGCGUUCCAUUAGGCAGUUGGCGGGGUAACGGCCCACCAAACCUACGAUGGAUAGGGGUUCUGAGAGGAAGGUCCCCCACAUUGGAACUGAGACACGGUCCAAACUCCUACGGGAGGCAGCAGUGAGGAAUAUUGGUCAAUGGACGAAGGUCUGAACCAGCCAAGUAGCGUGAAGGAUGACUGCCCUAUGGGUUGUAAACUUCUUUUAUAUGGGAAUAAAGUUCUCCACGUGUGGAGUUUUGUAUGUACCAUUAUGAAUAAGCAUCGGCUAACUCCGUGCCAGCAGCCGCGGUAAUACGGAGGAUGCGAGCGUUAUCCGGAUUUAUUGGGUUUAAAGGGAGCGUAGGUGGACUGAUAAGUCAGUUGUGAAAGUUUGCGGCUCAACCGUAAAAUUGCAGUUGAUACUGUCAGUCUUGAGUACAGUAGAGGUGGGCGGAAUUCGUGGUGUAGCGGUGAAAUGCUUAGAUAUCACGAAGAACUCCGAUUG